GACGAACGCUGGCGGCGUGCUUAACACAUGCAAGUCGAACGAAGAGCGAUGGAAGCUUGCUUCUAUCAAUCUUAGUGGCGAACGGGUGAGUAACGCGUAAUCAACCUGCCCUUCAGAGGGGGACAACAGUUGGAAACGACUGCUAAUACCGCAUACGAUCCAAUCUCGGCAUCGAGGAUGGAUGAAAGGUGGCCUCUAUUUAUAAGCUAUCACUGAAGGAGGGGAUUGCGUCUGAUUAGCUAGUUGGAGGGGUAACGGCCCACCAAGGCGAUGAUCAGUAGCCGGUCUGAGAGGAUGAACGGCCACAUUGGGACUGAGACACGGCCCAGACUCCUACGGGAGGCAGCAGUGGGGAAUCUUCCGCAAUGGACGAAAGUCUGACGGAGCAACGCCGCGUGAGUGAUGACGGCCUUCGGGUCUUAAAGCUCUGUUAAUCGGGACGAAAGGCCUUCUUGCGA
RNAcentral lists this ribosomal RNA (458 nucleotides) under Veillonella dispar. RNAcentral's name for it is "bacterial SSU rRNA". It matches the Rfam family "Bacterial small subunit ribosomal RNA", at positions 28 to 463 of the family's 1533-position model. The record is from RNAcentral. Lineage: Bacteria; Bacillati; Bacillota; Negativicutes; Veillonellales; Veillonellaceae.